UCCAGUCAUAAUUCAUUCAAUGAUGCUUAACAAACUAAACAAUUUUUUAUGAAAACUCAAAAUGGGCAAAACCUAGGUACAAUAACACCGUACAUUUAUGUUCAUAAUAUUAUAGAAACUUUCAACAGCCAACAUAUAGUAUCUAUCCACAAGAUAGUCAUGUUAUAUUCAAAAAGAGAAAUUGGAGACUUUUAAGAAUUGGCCCUUGCAGGGAACCCCCUUUUUGUGCUUCUUAAAUCUUUUGCAUCAAGGGCUUCUAGAAAGUUAACUGUAGCUGCAAUCUAUACAAUUGAAGGGCUUCACUUUGUUAAUUUUAUAAUAUUCAUAUCCUUCUCAUCCUUGCAUAUAUGCACAUGUGAGCACAUGCACUCGUGUCAAAUAACAAUAAAUAAAAAUCCGUUAGUAUUAUGCCAUCAUCAGGACCCAUACUAAGCCCUUGCUAGAAAUUCUCAUGUUAAGGACCUAUGUAGUAAUUUCUACAAUAACAUUUUUCACUUUCUUCCUUGACAAGUAACACUGCUGUACUUCAUUCCAAAACCUAAAAAGAUUUCCAUGUACGAGAUGUGAAAUGAAUGCGCAAAAAGAUUACUUCAAUGAAACAAGAAAAACAACCAAGUUGGUUGCGUCCAAGGCUAGAGGCAGGCAACGAGAAAAGGAAUGCCAAAGGCCAAACUGACUUAAGGUAACAUUGGUGAAUGGGCAGCUCAAUUACUAAACAAUCUAAUCUAGUCUACUUCAAUAUGCAUGCAAGCACUUGUGAGCUUAGUCUUGAGAAAAACAUGUUUAGAACUAAAGAAAAAAGAGGAAUAGAAAACUGAUGCAAGUCUCUAUCAAAAAUAUUCAGAGAAAGCCAACUAUUCUCAAGAGAAAACCACCCAGCAGUUGACUCGAGGAAUUACAUGGGAAACAGAAUAAUAUAUAAAAGACUACAAAUUACAUAUUUAGCACAAAUGAGCCACUCCAGUGUAACACACAGCAUCCCCGAUAGGUAGUUACAUGCUCCACACAUUUAUCUUCCCAUAACAUUACAUGCAUAUCAAUAAAUAGUAUAUCAUACAUACCCGUAAACACUCUUGGUACUACUACUCAUUUCAAUACCUAUUCCACCGGCUUAAAACAUCUAAGUUUACCAUAUUAAAUAGCUUCUCAUCAUUUCUUCUUAUUUUAUUUGCGGACAACAAGAGCUCAAAUUAAAACCCAGAAGGAAAUCUUGAACUGCAACCAUUCUACUUCACACAGCAGAGUGAAGCGUCACCUUGUCAUAACAAUUAGAUUCCUCAUCUUCUCUUUCAUCAAGAUUUCUCUUCAUCUCAUGAGUUGCCUCAUUAUAACUAUUUCUCAAAUUCUCAUGAACUUCUCUCAAGUCUUCAAGAUCAUAUUUCAUUUCCUAAAAAUCUCGAAUCCUUCAUCAUUCAAAUCUUUGAUGACAACAUCAUCAAAACCUUUUAAGUGCCCAAGUAAUCACAAAGCAACUUUAUUUUCUGCAUCCUUCCUAUAGGCUUUAAAUAUUAUAUUACGUUUUCUGUCCAAAUCAUGUAUAUUAUAAAAUUGGGAAAAGAAUUAUUUGCGUUAAAUUUUUCACGAGUAAAUUGUCAGCAACAAAUUUGGUUUUUAACUAACUCCUUGAGAAUCAUGAAUAGAAUCGUCACAACAAUUGGCGCUACACCUAUGGUCUUCAAAACACUUGGUUGUUAUUGACGCCUUUGUGUCUCUUGAUAGGAAGUUUUCUACACAAUCUCAAUUUAUCAAAGCACUUGGCCUUUUUUGCCAUCUUCAAAAGACCUCUCAUCCAUUCAUCAAUCUCUAUAUAGUCUCACACCUUAGGACUUACACCUUUCCAAUGGGUUUUCUACUCUUCCAUGGAUGUAAAGAAUUCUCACACGUAGGAUAUAAAGCUGUUUUGAAGGAAACUCUCUUUUGGUGGGGAAUUUAAGGAUAUUAAACUCAAAAGUAGAGAAAGUAACAUUAAUAAAAUAUAUAAAUAAAUAAAUAAAUAAAAACUGAAAUAGUAUUCAGGAGUUGGAACCCCUGUUCAGUGAACCAAACGUGUGUCUGGUACUUCUUUUUUUUCUUUUUUCUUUUUAAAUUUU
Molecule: unclassified non-coding RNA, 2090 nt
Filed under: Hevea brasiliensis (rubber tree)
Lineage: Eukaryota; Viridiplantae; Streptophyta; Magnoliopsida; Malpighiales; Euphorbiaceae
Source: RNAcentral